AUACGUAGGGGGCGAGCGUUGUCCGGAAUGAUUGGGCGUAAAGGGCGCGUAGGCGGCCCGGUAAGUCUGGAGUGAAAGUCCUGUUUUUAAGAUGGGAAUUGCUUUGGAUACUGUCGGGCUUGAGUGCAGGAGAGGUAAGUGGAAUUCCCAGUGUAGCGGUGAAAUGCGUAGAGAUUGGGAGGAACACCAGUGGCGAAGGCGGCUUGCUGGACGACAACUGACGCUGAGGCGCGAAAGCGUGGGGAGCAAACAGGAUUAGAUACCCUGGUAGUCCACGCCCUAAACGAUGAAUACUAGGUGUGGGGGGACUGACCCCCUCCGUGCCGGAGUAAACACAAUAAGUAUUCCACCUGGGGAGUACGACCGCAAGGUUGAAACUCAAAGGAAUUGGCGGGG
RNAcentral lists this ribosomal RNA (396 nucleotides) under uncultured bacterium. Its description in RNAcentral is "partial 16S ribosomal RNA". It matches the Rfam family "Bacterial small subunit ribosomal RNA", at positions 523 to 918 of the family's 1533-position model. The record is from RNAcentral.